Molecule: transfer RNA, 72 nt
Filed under: Danionella translucida
Lineage: Eukaryota; Metazoa; Chordata; Actinopteri; Cypriniformes; Danionidae
Also listed under: 1 other name
Rfam family: tRNA
About the family: Transfer RNA (tRNA) molecules are approximately 80 nucleotides in length. Their secondary structure includes four short double-helical elements and three loops (D, anti-codon, and T loops).
Source: Rfam by way of RNAcentral
GGCUAGUUGGUCUAGGGGUAUGAUUCUCGCUUAGGGUGCAAGAGGUCCUGGGUUCAAAUCCCAGACGAGCCC